RNAcentral lists this ribosomal RNA (1343 nucleotides) under uncultured bacterium. Its description in RNAcentral is "16S ribosomal RNA". It matches the Rfam family "Bacterial small subunit ribosomal RNA", at positions 28 to 1378 of the family's 1533-position model. The record is from RNAcentral.
GACGAACGCUGGCGGCGUGCUUAGCACAUGCAAGUCGAACGGAAAGGCCCUGCUUUUGUGGGGUGCUCGAGUGGCGAACGGGUGAGUAACACGUGAGUAACCUGCCCUUGACUUUGGGAUAACUUCAGGAAACUGGGGCUAAUACCGGAUAGGAGCUCCUGCUGCAUGGUGGGGGUUGGAAAGUUUCGGCGGUUGGGGAUGGACUCGCGGCUUAUCAGCUUGUUGGUGGGGUAGUGGCUUACCAAGGCUUUGACGGGUAGCCGGCCUGAGAGGGUGACCGGCCACAUUGGGACUGAGAUACGGCCCAGACUCCUACGGGAGGCAGCAGUGGGGAAUAUUGCACAAUGGGCGGAAGCCUGAUGCAGAAACGCCGCGUGCGGGAUGACGGCCUUCGGGUUGUAAACCGCUUUCGCCUGUGACGAAGCGUGAGUGACGGUAAUGGGUAAAGAAGCACCGGCUAACUACGUGCCAGCAGCCGCGGUGAUACGUAGGGUGCGAGCGUUGUCCGGAUUUAUUGGGCGUAAAGGGCUCGUAGGUGGUUGAUCGCGUCGGAAGUGUAAUCUUGGGGCUUAACCCUGAGCGUGCUUUCGAUACGGGUUGACUUGAGGAAGGUAGGGGAGAAUGGAAUUCCUGGUGGAGCGGUGGAAUGCGCAGAUAUCAGGAGGAACACCAGUGGCGAAGGCGGUUCUCUGGGCCUUUCCUGACGCUGAGGAGCGAAAGCGUGGGGAGCGAACAGGCUUAGAUACCCUGGUAGUCCACGCUGUAAACGGUGGGUACUAGGUGUGGGGUCCAUUCCACGGGUUCCGUGCCGUAGCUAACGCUUUAAGUACCCCGCCUGGGGAGUACGGCCGCAAGGCUAAAACUCAAAGGAAUUGACGGGGCCCCGCACAAGCGGCGGAGCAUGCGGAUUAAUUCGAUGCAACGCGUAGAACCUUACCUGGGUUUGACAUGGAUCGGGAGUGCUCAGAGAUGGGUGUGCCUCUUUUGGGGUCGGUUCACAGGUGGUGCAUGCCUGUCGUCAGCUCGUGUCGUGAGAUGUUGGGUUAAGUCCCGCAACGAGCGCAACCCUUGUUCACUGUUGCCAGCACGUUAUGGUGGGGACUCAGUGGAGACCGCCGGGGUCAACUCGGAGGAAGGUGGGGAUGACGUCAAGUCCUCAUGCCCCUUAUGUCCAGGGCUUCACGCAUGCUACAAUGGCUGGUACAGAGAGUGGCGAGCCUGUGAGGGUGAGCGAAUCUCGGAAAGCCGGUCUCAGUUCGGAUUGGGGUCUGCAACUCGACCUCAUGAAGUCGGAGUCGCUAGUAAUCGCAGAUCAGCAACGCUGCGGUGAAUACGUUCCCGGG